CAAGUUAUAGCUUAAAUAUAAGCAUUUAAUUGUUGAUUAAAUGAUGGGUAACCUUGCUUGA
RNAcentral lists this transfer RNA (61 nucleotides) under Streptosyllis sp. THS1. RNAcentral's name for it is "tRNA-Asn". Lineage: Eukaryota; Metazoa; Annelida; Polychaeta; Phyllodocida; Syllidae. The record is from RNAcentral.